This 916-nucleotide long non-coding RNA is filed under the name Homo sapiens (human). Its description in RNAcentral is "long non-coding RNA NONHSAT204350.1". Lineage: Eukaryota; Metazoa; Chordata; Mammalia; Primates; Hominidae. The record is from RNAcentral.
CUGCUUUUACCUGUGGCCAUGUCAGAGAAAGAUUUUAAGAAAGAGCAAGGAGUGCUAACAGGAAUGAAUGAAACUUCUGCUGUAAUCAUUGCUGCACCACAGAAUUUCACUCCCUCUGUGAUCUUUCAGAAGGUUGUAAAUGUAGCCAAUGUAGGUGCAGUCCCUUCUGGCCAGGAUAAUAUACACAGGUUUGCAGCUAAAACUGUGCACAGUGGGUCAUUGAUGCUAGUCACAGUGGAACUGAAGGAAGGCUCUACAGCCCAGCUUAUCAUAAACACUGAGAAAACUGUGAUUGGCUCUGUUCUGCUGCGGGAACUGAAGCCUGUCCUGUCUCAGGGGUAACCUGCUUACAUCUGGACUUUAGAAUCUGGCACACAACAAAAGUGCCUGGCAUCCACUACUGCUGCCUUUCAUUUAUAAUAAUAGCCCUUCCAUCUGGCAGUGGGGGUAGAAUACACUCUUGACAUUCUUGUCUCCUGCUUUAGAAUGCUAGUGUGUAUCUAUCAUGUAUGCAAUACUUUCCCCCUUUUUGCUUUGCUAACCAAAGAGCAUAUAUUUUACUGUCAGUUGUCUCAACUCUUGAAUCCAUGUGGCGUUUUCUCUGUCCUGCUGCUUCUUUUGGCCUCCUCGUUUUCCUUCUCUUUUUCGACAAUGGUAGACAUGAAUGAGAUAUUUAAAGUUCAUUGGAAAUCUUCUUCCCUACAGCAGUAAGCAAAAAUUAGCAAAGAGAUAGUCUAAAUGGCCUCUCAGCUUGGUAUGUGAAAAUGAGAUCACAUACUUUUUAAAUCCAAAUACAAAAGCAUAGUCUCUGCAAGAUUUUGUUCUUUGAAUUUCUUGAUAUUGUAAUUGAUUAUUGAUAACUGUCAUCAUGAAAUUAUCUCUCAAUAAUAAGAUAAAUAAACUAGCAUAUGAAUCA